This 508-nucleotide ribosomal RNA is filed under the name uncultured bacterium. Its description in RNAcentral is "bacterial SSU rRNA". It matches the Rfam family "Bacterial small subunit ribosomal RNA", at positions 975 to 1482 of the family's 1533-position model. The record is from RNAcentral.
CUACCCUUGACAUGUCAGGAAUCCCGAAGAGAUUUGGGAGUGCCCUAAAGGGAGCCUGAACACAGGUGCUGCAUGGCUGUCGUCAGCUCGUGUCGUGAGAUGUUGGGUUAAGUCCCGCAACGAGCGCACCCCUCGUCGUUAAUCGCCAUCAUUCAGUUGGGCACUUUAAUGAGACUGCCGGUGACAAACCGGAGGAAGGUGGGGAUGACGUCAAGUCCUCAUGGCCCUUAUGGGUAGGGCUUCACACGUCAUACAAUGGUCGGUCCAGAGGGUUGCCAACCCGCGAGGGGGAGCUAAUCUCAUAAAACCGAUCGUAGUCCGGAUUGCAGUCUGCAACUCGACUGCAUGAAGUCGGAAUCGCUAGUAAUCGCGGAUCAGCAUGUCGCGGUGAAUACGUUCCCGGGUCUUGUACACACCGCCCGUCACACCAUGGGAGCGGGUUCUGCCAGAAGUAGUUAGCCUAACCGCAAGGGGGGCGAUUACCACCGCAGGGUUCGUGACUGGGGUG